AAGAAAAUUCUAUCUUCUCUAUACAGUGUUAUCCAGAAAAAAAAAAAAGUAAAGAAAACGAAAACAGUUGAGGUUUUUUGGUUUCUAGAUCUGGUUUGUCCUCAUGGAUCGAAUGCCUUCAAGUUCGUUUCAGAUUGAAUUUUCCUUGGUCCUUACCGCUACAAGACACUGAUUUGGAGCGACGAAGUUGCAUGCAAUCUCAGCUCUCUCUCAAUCCUUCUUCCUCACACCAGUUUAAGCCUGUCCUUACUGGAAGUCCCAUGGGGUUUGGAAGGUUUACUAAUCCAAUUAAUGCAAUGAAUGCCCCUGGUGUAGUUGGAGUUGCCAUUGAGCUAGUUUUAAACUAGAAAUCAAAUGCAGAAUCACUAGGUCUAAGGCAAUUUCUUGAUUGUGAUGAACAUGAAAUUUGAUGGAGAGCUUAUAUAUUUGACAACCCAUCGGCGUACUUGGGCUCAUGGAAUUUUUUGGUUAUGUGAACAUAAUUAAAUUUCACCUCAUGGAGUGAAGGGUGGAGGUUAGAGAAGUACAAAAUUAGAAAGCCAGCAUUGUUUGUUCUUUAGGUUUCUCAUAAAUGGGUGAUGAGGUGGAUAUAAUUGUCAAAGUCAAAGGCUAAACGGCUCCAUGGAAAGCUCUCAGAAGGGAAAUACAAUCACAAGGAUAUUAUCUUGUCCUUGAUUCGUCAUCACUCUAUUUGAACUUUUUAAGGGGUUAUAAUCUGAAACAGAAAGCUGCAAGAGCUUACGAACGAGGAGACAAAAAAAUGUUGUUCACUCAAUAAGGAGAAAGCUAUGGACUUUGUAAACUGGACUUGCAGUUCAAUGACGGAAGGAGAGAGAUGAGAAGCAAUUUCUGGUUUCAUAUGAAAGAAGACAGUAGUCAACUUUGGAGUCUUCUAGUCUAGGAGCAUUUGUAUUUAUAUAAUAUCCAAAAUAAUUAAGUUUUCCAUGAUAAUUUUUUUUUUUUAAAUGAAAUAUAUUGAGUCACCAAUAGAAUUGGUGUGGUGCUAAUUAUAGUAAUGUAUUCAACCA
Molecule: long non-coding RNA, 1028 nt
Organism: Rosa chinensis
Lineage: Eukaryota; Viridiplantae; Streptophyta; Magnoliopsida; Rosales; Rosaceae
Exons: 7
Source: RefSeq, a predicted model, not a curated record